This 325-nucleotide ribosomal RNA is filed under the name uncultured eukaryote. RNAcentral's name for it is "partial 18S ribosomal RNA". It matches the Rfam family "Eukaryotic small subunit ribosomal RNA", at positions 1470 to 1796 of the family's 1831-position model. The record is from RNAcentral.
CCCUUAGAUGUUCUGGGCCGCACGCGCGCUACACUGAUGCAUUCAACGAGCCUAGCCUUGACCGAGAGGUCCGGGUAAUCUUUGAAACUGCAUCGUGAUGGGGCUAGAUUAUUGCAAUUAUUAAUCUUCAACGAGGAAUGCCUAGUAAGCGUGAUUCAUCAAAUCGCGCUGAAUACGUCCCUGCCCUUUGUACACACCGCCCGUCGCUCCUACCGAUUGAGUGGUCCGGUGAGGCUUUGGGAUCUGAGCGGAAAGAGCGUUUCGCUGUUUCUGCCCGGAAAACUCAGUCGAACCUUAUCAUUUAGAGGAAGGAGAAGUCGUAACA